CAGGCGCGAAACCUUUACACUGCACGCAAGUGCGAUAAGGGGACCCCAAGUGCGAGGGCAUAUAGUCCUCGCUUUUCUCGACUGUAAGGCGGUCGAGGAAUAAGAGCUGGGCAAGACCGGUGCCAGCCGCCGCGGUAAUACCGGCAGCUCAAGUGAUGACCGAUAUUAUUGGGCCUAAAGCGUCCGUAGCCGGCCACGAAGGUUCAUCGGGAAAUCCGCCAGCUCAACUGGCGGGCGUCCGGUGAAAACCACGUGGCUUGGGACCGGAAGGCUCGAGGGGUACGUCCGGGGUAGGAGUGAAAUCCCGUAAUCCUGGACGGACCACCGAUGGCGAAAGCACCUCGAGAAGACGGAUCCGACGGUGAGGGACGAAAGCUAGGGUCUCGAACCGGAUUAGAUACCCGGGUAGUCCUAGCUGUAAACGAUGCUCGCUAGGUGUGACACAGGCUACGAGCCUGUGUUGUGCCGUAGGGAAGCCGAGAAGCGAGCCGCCUGGGAAGUACGUCCGC
RNAcentral lists this ribosomal RNA (509 nucleotides) under Haloferax volcanii. RNAcentral's name for it is "bacterial SSU rRNA". It matches the Rfam family "Archaeal small subunit ribosomal RNA", at positions 336 to 844 of the family's 1478-position model. The record is from RNAcentral. Lineage: Archaea; Methanobacteriati; Methanobacteriota; Halobacteria; Halobacteriales; Haloferacaceae.